AUUUUAUUAGUAUAAAUAAGUAUAUUUGUUUUCCAAACAAGUGGUUUAAUGUAGUUAAAUAAAAUA
This 66-nucleotide transfer RNA is filed under the name Sepiola robusta. Its description in RNAcentral is "tRNA-Gly". The record is from RNAcentral. Lineage: Eukaryota; Metazoa; Mollusca; Cephalopoda; Sepiida; Sepiolidae.